GAAAGUAACACAAAACAAAAA
Molecule: small nuclear RNA, 21 nt
Filed under: Arabidopsis thaliana (thale cress)
Lineage: Eukaryota; Viridiplantae; Streptophyta; Magnoliopsida; Brassicales; Brassicaceae
Description: snRNA_14726
Source: RNAcentral